CCUACGGGUGGCAGCAGUGGGGAAUAUUGCACAAUGGGCGAAAGCCUGAUGCAGCAACGCCGCGUGAGCGAUGAAGGCCUUCGGGUCGUAAAGCUCUGUCCUCAAGGAAGAUAAUGACGGUACUUGAGGAGGAAGCCCCGGCUAACUACGUGCCAGCAGCCGCGGUAAUACGAGGGGGGCUAGGGUUAUCCGGAAUUACUGGGCGUAAAGGGGGCGUAGGUGGUUUCUUAAGUCAGUGGGAAAAGGCAACGGUUAAACCGUAGUAAGCCUUUGAAAAUGGGGAACUUGAGUGUAGGAGAGGAGAGUGGAAUUCCUAGUGUAGCGGUGAAAUGCGUAGAUAUUAGGAGGAACACCAGUGGCGAAGGCGGCUCUCUGGACUGUAACUGACGCUGAGGCACGAAAGCGUGGGGAGCAAACAGGAUUAGAUACCCGUGUAGUC
RNAcentral lists this ribosomal RNA (439 nucleotides) under uncultured bacterium. RNAcentral's name for it is "partial 16S ribosomal RNA". It matches the Rfam family "Bacterial small subunit ribosomal RNA", at positions 338 to 795 of the family's 1533-position model. The record is from RNAcentral.